GGCCGCAGUAUACUAACUGUGCAAAGGUAGCAUAAUCAUUAGUCUUUUAAUUGAAGGCUGGUAUGAAUGGUUGGACGAGGUAUUAACUGUUUCAAAUAAAAUUUUUUUAGAACUUUAUUAUUUAGUCAAAAAGCUAAAAUAAAUUUAAAAGACGAGAAGACCCUAUAAAUCUUUAUACUAAUUUUAUUUUAAUUAUAAAGAUAAUUUUUGUUAUAAUAAUUUUUGGUAUUUUAUUGGGGUGAUAUUAAAAUUUAAUAAACUUUUAAUUUUUUAAAAACAUUAAUUUAUGAAUAGUUGAUCCAUUAAUAAUGAUUAUAAAAUUAAGUUACUUUAGGGAUAACAGCGUAAUUUUUUUGGAGAGUUCUUAUCGAUAAAAAAGAUUGCGACCUCGAUGUUGGAUUAAGAAAAGCUUUAGGUGUAGCCGCUUAAAUGUUAAGUCUGUUCG
Molecule: ribosomal RNA, 445 nt
Filed under: Ortalischema albitarse
Lineage: Eukaryota; Metazoa; Arthropoda; Insecta; Diptera; Sepsidae
Description: partial 16S ribosomal RNA
Rfam family: Bacterial large subunit ribosomal RNA
Source: RNAcentral